Molecule: small nuclear RNA, 19 nt
Filed under: Arabidopsis thaliana (thale cress)
Lineage: Eukaryota; Viridiplantae; Streptophyta; Magnoliopsida; Brassicales; Brassicaceae
Description: snRNA_10522
Source: RNAcentral
UUGUUGGAUUGUUGCAGGU